RNAcentral lists this ribosomal RNA (240 nucleotides) under uncultured bacterium. Its description in RNAcentral is "partial 16S ribosomal RNA". It matches the Rfam family "Bacterial small subunit ribosomal RNA", at positions 29 to 291 of the family's 1533-position model. The record is from RNAcentral.
AGCGAACGCUGGCGGCAGGCUUAACACAUGCAAGUCGAGCGGGCGUAGCAAUACGUCAGCGGCAGACGGGUGAGUAACGCGUGGGAACAUACCUUUGGUCCGGAACAACACAGGGAACGUUGUGCUAAUACCGGAUAAGCCCUUACCGGGGAAAGGAUUUAUCGCCGAAAGAAUUGGCCCGCCGUCUGAUUAGCUAGUUGGUGAGGUAACGGCUCACCAAGGCGACGAUCAGUAGCGGUC